This 469-nucleotide ribosomal RNA is filed under the name uncultured bacterium. Its description in RNAcentral is "bacterial SSU rRNA". It matches the Rfam family "Bacterial small subunit ribosomal RNA", at positions 30 to 490 of the family's 1533-position model. The record is from RNAcentral.
AUUGAACGCUGGCGGCGUGCUUAACACAUGCAAGUCGAUCGGUAACAGGUGUAGCAAUACAUGCUGACGAGAGGCGGACGGGUGAGUAAUGCUUGGGAAUCUGCCUAUUAGUGGGGGACAACCCGGGGAAACUCGGGCUAAUACCGCAUACGCUCUACGGAGGAAAGCCGGGGACCGCAAGGCCUGGCGCUAAUAGAUGAGCCCAAGUCGGAUUAGCUAGUUGGUAGGGUAACGGCCUACCAAGGCGACAAUCCGUAGCUGGUCUGAGAGGACGACCAGCCACACCGGAACUGAGACACGGUCCGGACUCCUACGGGAGGCAGCAGUGGGGAAUAUUGGACAAUGGGGGCAACCCUGAUCCAGCGACGCCGCGUGGGUGAAGAAGGCCUGCGGGUUGUAAAGCCCUUUCAGUAGGGAAGAAAAGCCGAGUGCUAAUAUCACUCGGUCUUGACGUUACUUACAGAAGAAG